ACGCUGUAAACGAUGUCGACUUGGAGGUUGUGCCCUNGAGGCGUGGCUUCCGGAGCUAACGCGUUAAGUCGACCGCCUGGGGAGUACGGCCGCAAGGUUAAAACUCAAAUGAAUUGACGGGGGCCCGCACAAGCGGUGGAGCAUGUGGUUUAAUUCGAUGCAACGCGAAGAACCUUACCUACUCUUGACAUCCAGAGAAUUCGCUAGAGAUAGCUUAGUGCCUUCGGGAACUCUGAGACAGGUGCUGCAUGGCUGUCGUCAGCUCGUGUUGUGAAAUGUUGGGUUAAGUCCCGCAACGAGCGCAACCCUUAUCCUUUGUUGCCAGCACGUAAUGGUGGGAACUCAAAGGAGACUGCCGGUGAUAAACCGGAGGAAGGUGGGGAUGACGUCAAGUCAUCAUGGCCCUUACGAGUAGGGCUACACACGUGCUACAAUGGCAUAUACAAAGAGAAGCAAACUCGCGAGAGCAAGCGGACCUCAUAAAGUAUGUCGUAGUCCGGAUUGGAGUCUGCAACUCGACUCCAUGAAGUCGGAAUCGCUAGUAAUCGUAGAUCAGAAUGCUACGGUGAAUACGUUCCCGGGCCUUGUACACACCGCCCGUCACACCAUGGGAGUGGGUUGCAAAAGAAGUAGGUAGCUUAACCUUCGGGAGGGC
RNAcentral lists this ribosomal RNA (655 nucleotides) under Enterobacteriaceae bacterium 71_f. RNAcentral's name for it is "bacterial SSU rRNA". It matches the Rfam family "Bacterial small subunit ribosomal RNA", at positions 797 to 1451 of the family's 1533-position model. Lineage: Bacteria; Pseudomonadati; Pseudomonadota; Gammaproteobacteria; Enterobacterales; Enterobacteriaceae. The record is from RNAcentral.